This 1042-nucleotide long non-coding RNA is filed under the name Phascolarctos cinereus (koala). RNAcentral's name for it is "lncRNA (ENSPCIG00000023075.2)". Lineage: Eukaryota; Metazoa; Chordata; Mammalia; Diprotodontia; Phascolarctidae. The record is from RNAcentral.
CUCUAUUGUGUACAAGGAUGGGACUGCACACAAACCUGAUAUCCCUCAAGGAGACUAGAAUCCGGUAGAGAGGUUAGGACAAAUACAUAAACAACUACAGCUUGAGUAUAGGCAUUAGAAGAAACACCUAAGGGAGACAUUUCCUGAUGGGACACUAUGUCACCUGAACCAAGAAAAUACUUUGGGGGGGUGGGUGUUGAUCUCCUCCAGCACCACUACCUAGGGAAUGUGGCCACCUGCUGGUUCCCCUUACACAAAAAGCCAAACUCUACAAAUGCAAAGAGAUAAGUAGGGUCAAGGAUAGUGACAGAGGACAUGCUGCUGCAAAAAUAGAUUAAAGCUUAGUCAAUGAAUGUUCAAGUGGUUUGGGAAGACCCUGAUCCCCCAAUCCUGGAACUUGAGCUAAGGUGAUGCCCAGGAAAUGCCAGAUCAGCUGGGUGAUAGGUUAUUGUGACCCCAAGGCAUAGCAGGAUAUGACAGAAUCAGGUGGCCAGGUUCGAGUAGAUCCCAACAUCCUUUCUUGUUUGGCUCCUAACCAUAGAACAUCAAAGCUGGAAAGAACUUCCAGACCAUCUUGUCCACUCUGCUCAUUUAAGGGAUGAGGAAAGUGAGGAACAGAGGGGGAAAUGACUUCUGAAGGUCAUACAGUCAUUGUGCCACCCAUUUCCACAGACAGAGAAUUGGCAGAAUUCUGAAAAUGAAGACUCUUUUUCCAAAGUGAAUUGCCGGCCAUCAGCAGAGCUUCCUUGGGGCAGUGCAGACCCGGCUCUCUACUGACCAGCAAGGCAGACCAGCCGACCAAGCUCUGAAAUUCUCUGGUUCAGUGAUUGCUGAGUAUAUGAGCUACACCUGGGAUGUGCUCACAGGGGAGCAAACCCAAGACCCUCAGGCCACUAUUCAGCCCCAUCACUUUACUUGUCUCUGGAAUAGUAGCCAAGUCAAGAGGGGACCCACUAUGACCAGUCAUUGGUGCUGUGAUCUGACAGGUAAAUAAUGUGUGUAAGUAGAGGACACUCAGAAUAAAGCUCAUUGAAUCACUGCA